UGAUGUUUUAAGCUGUCUUUUGCAUGAUGGGAAAAUCAACGGUCGUAGAAUGUAAUGCUCUGCAGGUGCCUAUAUCGGACUAGAGCAACCAAAUUUGUCGCUUAAAUUUCUUCUCGCCUAUCAGUCAUGUCAAGCACAAUGCGGUCUCUCGAUGAAGUACAAGGUGAAGUUGCCCAAUUGAGGAUUUGGAUUUUGGUAAAAUAAGAAACGGCCAAUAUGCCUCGUCUUCUGGGAACACAACAAUGAUCGGAAAGAUGAUUUCUUCGUUUUCAUGGUCUGUAAGAAGUUGAAAAGCUAUAGUCCACCGACUUUACAGCUGCUGCGAGGAGUUUCAAAGUGGUUCUGGGAAAAUGUAAAGCUGAUGUGCAGCAAUUAGAACUGUGGAAAAAUUAUCGGCUUAUUUAGAAUAGACAAAGAAAAGCAAAUAUGUAGUGAAUAGAAAUUUCUCUAAUUUUGAUGUUCCAAAAAAACUCCAAAUUUUCACUUAGGCUUCAAAAGUUUUGGAUAUACGGAUCACCUUGGCUUGUCGAAGAAGCCCCAAGCUAUUGCUAUGAAUGCACAGCCUGCAAAAUAAGACCACUCAUUUUCACAAAUGUAAAAAGAGACCUAUUGAAGUCGACUUUCUUGCACCGACUGAACCAUAAAGCUCUGCUUUUGACAUCUGUGCUUGUGACGAAGUACCGGACAGAUUAAAGGUCGAAAUGCCAUUUAAAAUGGAAAGUCUUGUCAAGAGGUCUUGGUAAAAUUAUGAACUGAUGCUUGUUUAUUUUGACGAUAUUCUUUAAAAUUGUUUUAAGCAUAAGUAUUUCGUGCAUUCCUGGAGUAGUUAACCAUUCCUUAGAUCAAGCGACACAAACUAAAUAAAAACUGAGGCAUUGGAUGUGGUAUCGGAUGAGUUUCAAAUUGUGUCAACCCACGCUUGGAGAUCUCUAUAUAAAUCAUUCUGCCAGUAA
Argiope bruennichi is the source of this 953-nucleotide long non-coding RNA. RefSeq lists it as uncharacterized. The record is from RefSeq and is a predicted model, not a curated record. Lineage: Eukaryota; Metazoa; Arthropoda; Arachnida; Araneae; Araneidae. The transcript is spliced from 5 exons.